Molecule: small nuclear RNA, 107 nt
Organism: Marmota marmota marmota (Alpine marmot)
Lineage: Eukaryota; Metazoa; Chordata; Mammalia; Rodentia; Sciuridae
Source: Ensembl
GUGUUCUCUUCAGCAGCACAUAUACUAAAAUUGGAAUGAUAAAGAAAAGAUUAGCAUUGCCCCUGCGCAAGAAUGACACACAAAUCUGUGAAGCGUUUCAUAUUUUU